Molecule: ribosomal RNA, 400 nt
Filed under: uncultured bacterium
Lineage: Bacteria
Description: bacterial SSU rRNA
Rfam family: Bacterial small subunit ribosomal RNA
Source: RNAcentral
UGGGGAAUUUUGGACAAUGGGCGCAAGCCUGAUCCAGCCAUGCCGCGUGCGGGAAGAAGGCCUUCGGGUUGUAAACCGCUUUUGUCAGGGAAGAAACGCUUCGGGUUAAUACCCUGAGGUAAUGACGGUACCUGAAGAAUAAGCACCGGCUAACUACGUGCCAGCAGCCGCGGUAAUACGUAGGGUGCAAGCGUUAAUCGGAAUUACUGGGCGUAAAGCGUGCGCAGGCGGUCAUGCAAGACAGAUGUGAAAUCCCCGGGCUUAACCUGGGAACCGCAUUUGUGACUGCAUGACUGGAGUGCGGCAGAGGGGGAUGGAAUUCCGCGUGUAGCAGUGAAAUGCGUAGAUAUGCGGAGGAACACCGAUGGCGAAGGCAAUCCCCUGGGCCUGCACUGACGCU